Molecule: ribosomal RNA, 357 nt
Filed under: uncultured bacterium
Lineage: Bacteria
Description: bacterial SSU rRNA
Rfam family: Bacterial small subunit ribosomal RNA
Source: RNAcentral
CGCGAACGCUGGCGGCAGGCCUAACACAUGCAAGUCGAGCGGCCGUAGCAAUACGGCAGCGGCAGACGGGAUAGUAACACGUGGGAACGCGCCCUUCGGUUCGGAAUAACUCAGGGAAACUUGAGCUAAUACCGGAUACGCCUUACGGGAAAGAUUUAUUGCCGAAGGAACGGCCCGCGUCCGAUUAGCUAGUUGGUGAGGUAAUGGCUCACCAAGGCAACGAUCGGUAGCUGGCUGAGAGGAUGACCAGCAUCACUGGGACUGAGACACGGCCCAGACUCCUACGGGAGGCAGCAGUGGGGAAUAUUGGACAAUGGGCGCAAGCCUGAUCCAGCCAUGCCGCGUGGAUGAUGAAGG